This 258-nucleotide long non-coding RNA is filed under the name Mytilus galloprovincialis (Mediterranean mussel). Lineage: Eukaryota; Metazoa; Mollusca; Bivalvia; Mytilida; Mytilidae. The record is from RNAcentral.
UGGCGAUAUAUUUUUAUUCUAGCCCCCACCCCACCCGACCAUAAAAAUGAAAUGGAACCUAUACAUGCCAUAUUUCCUAAAGUUAGGACCAUCCUAAGACCAUCUUAAGACACCUAAAUUGGUGUCCUAAAGUUAUGACAAUUCCUAGGAUUUUCCUAAGUUGCGACAUGUUUGAUAAACCCGCAUAGGACUAAGAUAUGUCCUAAGUUGGUCUUAGGACACGUCCUAAUCCUAAGAGAGCUUCGAUAAACAGGCCCC